AAUAUUUCGCAAUGGGGGAAACCCUGACGCAGUAACGCCGCGUGAGCGAUGAAGGCCUUCGGGUCGUAAAGCUCUGUCUUUAGGGACGAUAAUGACGGUACCUAAGGAGGAAGCCACGGCUAACUACGUGCAAGCAGCCGCGGUAAUACGUAGGUGGCGAGCGUUGUCCGGAAUUACUGGGCGUAAAGGGUGCGUAGGCGGAAUCUUAAGUCAGAUGUGAAAUCCCUGGGCUUAACCUGGGAAUGGCAUUUGAAACUGGGGUUCUAGAGUGCAGGAGAGGAAAGCGGAAUUCCUAGUGUAGCGGUGAAAUGCGUAGAUAUUAGGAAGAACACAAGUGGCGAAGGCGGCUUUCUGGACUGUAACUGACGCUGAGGCACGAAAGCGUGGGGAGCAAACAGG
RNAcentral lists this ribosomal RNA (399 nucleotides) under uncultured bacterium. RNAcentral describes it as "partial 16S ribosomal RNA". It matches the Rfam family "Bacterial small subunit ribosomal RNA", at positions 360 to 776 of the family's 1533-position model. The record is from RNAcentral.